GCAGCGGUAGUUCAGUUGGUUAGAAUGCCGCCCUGUCACGGCGGAGGUCGCGGGUUCGAGCCCCGUCCGCUGCGCCA
Molecule: transfer RNA, 77 nt
Filed under: Campylobacter coli
Lineage: Bacteria; Pseudomonadati; Campylobacterota; Epsilonproteobacteria; Campylobacterales; Campylobacteraceae
Also listed under: 14 other names
Description: tRNA-Asp
Rfam family: tRNA
About the family: Transfer RNA (tRNA) molecules are approximately 80 nucleotides in length.
Source: RNAcentral